GGGGAAUUUUGGACAAUGGGCGCAAGCCUGAUCCAGCCAUGCCGCGUGCGGGAAGAAGGCCUUCGGGUUGUAAACCGCUUUUGUCAGGGAAGAAAUCUUCUGAGCUAACACCUCGGGAGGAUGACGGUACCUGAAGAAUAAGCACCGGCUAACUACGUGCCAGCAGCCGCGGUAAUACGUAGGGUGCAAGCGUUAAUCGGAAUUACUGGGCGUAAAGCGUGCGCAGGCGGUCUUGCAAGACAGGUGUGAAAUCCCCGGGCUUACCCUGGGAACUGCACUUGUGACUGCAAGGCUGGAGUACGGCAGAGGGGGAUGGAAUUCCGCGUGUAGCAGUGAAAUGCGUAGGUAUGCGGAGGAACACCGAUGGCGAAGGCAAUCCCCUGGGCCUGUACUGACGCUCAUGCACGAAAGCGUGGGGAGCAAAC
This 425-nucleotide ribosomal RNA is filed under the name uncultured bacterium. RNAcentral's name for it is "bacterial SSU rRNA". It matches the Rfam family "Bacterial small subunit ribosomal RNA", at positions 356 to 773 of the family's 1533-position model. The record is from RNAcentral.